Molecule: ribosomal RNA, 301 nt
Filed under: uncultured bacterium
Lineage: Bacteria
Description: partial 16S ribosomal RNA
Rfam family: Bacterial small subunit ribosomal RNA
Source: RNAcentral
CAGCAGCCGCGGUAAUACGGAGGGUGCAUGCGUUAAUCGGAAUUACUGGGCGUAAAGCGCACGCAGGCGGUUUGUUAAGUCAGAUGUGAAAUCCCCGAGCUUAACUUGGGAACUGCAUUUGAAACUGGCAAGCUAGAGUCUUGUAGAGGGGGGUAGAAUUCCAGGUGUAGCGGUGAAAUGCGUAGAGAUCUGGAGGAAUACUGGUGGCGAAGGCGGCCCCCUGGACAAAGACUGACGCUCAGGUGCGAAAGCGUGGGGAGCAAACAGGAUUAGAUACCCGAGUAGUCCCUGUCUCUUAUAC